RNAcentral lists this ribosomal RNA (274 nucleotides) under uncultured bacterium. RNAcentral's name for it is "partial 16S ribosomal RNA". It matches the Rfam family "Bacterial small subunit ribosomal RNA", at positions 523 to 796 of the family's 1533-position model. The record is from RNAcentral.
AUACGGAGGGUGCAAGCGUUUUUCGGAAUCACUGGGCGUAAAGGGCGCGCAGGCGGGUUGGUAAGUCAGAUGUGAAAGCCCACCGCUCAACCGUGGAAGUGCAUUUGAAACUGCCAGACUUGAGUACCAGAGGGGAAAGUGGAAUUCCCGGUGUAGAGGUGAAAUUCGUAGAUAUCGGGAGGAAUACCGGUGGCGAAGGCGACUUUCUGGCUGGAUACUGACGCUGAGGCGCGAAAGCGUGGGGAGCAAACAGGAUUAGAAACCCCAGUAGUCC